UCAACCCUCAAGCACUGCUUGGUGUUGGGGCACUGCCUCUCUCGCGGGAGGCAGGCCCUGAAAUCUAGUGGCGGGCUCGCCAGGACCCCGAGCGCAGUAGUUAAACCCUCGCUCUGGAAGGCCCUGGCGGUGCCCUGCCGUUAAACCCCCAACUUCUGAAAAUUUGACCUCGGAUCAGG
Molecule: unclassified non-coding RNA, 179 nt
Filed under: Phomopsis sp. MAFF 237220
Lineage: Eukaryota; Fungi; Ascomycota; Sordariomycetes; Diaporthales; Diaporthaceae
Description: partial ITS2
Source: RNAcentral